RNAcentral lists this ribosomal RNA (267 nucleotides) under uncultured bacterium. RNAcentral's name for it is "partial 16S ribosomal RNA". It matches the Rfam family "Bacterial small subunit ribosomal RNA", at positions 1225 to 1500 of the family's 1533-position model. The record is from RNAcentral.
UUACAAUGGCAGGUACAGAGGGGUGCUACCGGGUGACCGGAUGCCGAUCUCGAAAACCUGUCCCAGUUCGGACUGGAGUCUGCAACCCGACUCCACGAAGUUGGAUUCGCUAGUAAUCGCGCAUCAGCCAUGGCGCGGUGAAUACGUUCCCGGGCCUUGUACACACCGCCCGUCAAGCCAUGGGAGCCGGGGGCGCCUGAAGUCCGGGACCGCGAGGACCGGCCUAGGGCGAAACUGGUGACUGGGGCUAAGUCGUAACAAGGUAGC